GCGGGAUUGGUGACGGUGCGUGUCACCCCCUGUCACGGCUUGAUUUUCAGACUACGAAUCUGAGGGUCGGACGUUCGAAUCGUUCCGGGCGCGCCA
RNAcentral lists this transfer RNA (96 nucleotides) under Caulobacter sp. RNAcentral describes it as "tRNA-Arg". The record is from RNAcentral. Lineage: Bacteria; Pseudomonadati; Pseudomonadota; Alphaproteobacteria; Caulobacterales; Caulobacteraceae.